This 580-nucleotide ribosomal RNA is filed under the name Neofusicoccum parvum. RNAcentral describes it as "eukaryotic LSU rRNA". The stretch from base 209 to 362 matches the Rfam family "5.8S ribosomal RNA". The record is from RNAcentral. Lineage: Eukaryota; Fungi; Ascomycota; Dothideomycetes; Botryosphaeriales; Botryosphaeriaceae.
UCCGUAGGUGAACCUGCGGAAGGAUCAUUACCGAGUUGAUUCGAGCUCCGGCUCGACUCUCCCACCCAAUGUGUACCUACCUCUGUUGCUUUGGCGGGCCGCGGUCCUCCGCACCGGCGCCCUUCGGGGGGCUGGCCAGCGCCCGCCAGAGGACCAUAAAACUCCAGUCAGUGAACUUCGCAGUCUGAAAAACAAGUUAAUAAACUAAAACUUUCAACAACGGAUCUCUUGGUUCUGGCAUCGAUGAAGAACGCAGCGAAAUGCGAUAAGUAAUGUGAAUUGCAGAAUUCAGUGAAUCAUCGAAUCUUUGAACGCACAUUGCGCCCCUUGGUAUUCCGAGGGGCAUGCCUGUUCGAGCGUCAUUUCAACCCUCAAGCUCUGCUUGGUAUUGGGCCUCGUCCUCCACGGACGCGCCUUAAAGACCUCGGCGGUGGCGUCUUGCCUCAAGCGUAGUAGAAAACACCUCGCUUUGGAGCGCACGGCGUCGCCCGCCGGACGAACCUUUGAAUUAUUUCUCAAGGUUGACCUCGGAUCAGGUAGGGAUACCCGCUGAACUUAAGCAUAUCAAUAAGCCGGAGGA